UACGUAGGGGGCGAGCGUUGUCCGGAUUCAUUGGGCGUAAAGCGCUUUAAGGCGGUUCGGUAAGUCGGGUGUGAAACCUCCAGGCUCAACCUGGAGACGCCACUCGAUACUGCUGUGACUAGAGUCCGGUAGGGGACCACGGAAUUCCUGGUGUAGCGGUGAAAUGCGCAGAUAUCAGGAGGAACACCAGUGGCGAAGGCAGUGGUCUGGGCCGGAACUGACGCUGUAGAGCGAAAGCGUGGGGAGCGAACAGG
Molecule: ribosomal RNA, 254 nt
Filed under: uncultured bacterium
Lineage: Bacteria
Description: partial 16S ribosomal RNA
Rfam family: Bacterial small subunit ribosomal RNA
Source: RNAcentral